AGAGUUUGAUCAUGGCUCAGGACGAACGCUGGCGGCGUGCCUAACACAUGCAAGUCGAACGGAAUCCAUGGAGUGCUUGCACUCCGGAAGAUUUAGUGGCGAACGGGUGAGUAACACGUGAGAAACCUGCCCCAGACUCUGGGAUAACUCAAGGAAACUUGUGCUAAUACCGGAUACCCUCAUUUCAUCGCAUGGUGGUUUGAGGAAAGUUUUUCGGUUUGGGAGGGUCUCGCGGCCUAUCAGCUUGUUGGUGGGGUAACGGCCUACCAAGGCUACGACGGGUAGCUGGUUUGAGAGAACGAUCAGCCACACUGGAACUGAGACACGGUCCAGACUCCUACGGGAGGCAGCAGUGGGGAAUCUUGCGCAAUGGGCGAAAGCCUGACGCAGCAACGCCGCGUGCGGGAUGAAUGCCUUCGGGUUGUAAACCGCUUUCAGCAGGGACGAAGAUGACGGUACCUGCAGAAGAAGCUCCGGCUAACUACGUGCCAGCAGCCGCGGUAAUACGUAGGGAGCAAGCGUUGUCGGAUUUAUUGGGCGUAAAGAGCUCGUAGGCGGUUUCGUAGGUCGAGUGUGAAAAAUCUGGGCUUAACCCAGUGGAGCACUUGAUACUGCGAUGACUUGAGUUUGGUAGAGGAGUGUGGAAUUCCUGGUGUAGCGGUGAAAUGCGCAGAUAUCAGGAGGAACACCAACGGCGAAGGCAGCACUCUGGGCCAAUACUGACGCUGAGGAGCGAAAGCGUGGGGAGCAAACAGGAUUAGAUACCCUGGUAGUCCACGCCGUAAACGUUGGGCACUAGGUGUGGGGAGGAAUCAACCCUUUCCGUGCCGUAGCUAACGCAUUAAGUGCCCCGCCUGGGGAGUACGGCCGCAAGGCUAAAACUCAAAGGAAUUGACGGGGACCCGCACAAGCGGUGGAUGAUGUGGAUUAAUUCGAUGCAACGCGAAAAACCUUACCUACCCUUGACAUGUCAGAAAUCCCUGAGAGAUUAGGGAGUGCCGCAAGGAAUCUGAACACAGGUGCUGCAUGGCUGUCGUCAGCUCGUGUCGUGAGAUGUUGGGUUAAGUCCCGCAACGAGCGCAACCCUUGUCGUUAAUUGCCAUCAUUAAGUUGGGCACUUUAACGAGACUGCCGGUGACAAACCGGAGGAAGGUGGGGAUGACGUCAAGUCCUCAUGGCCCCUAUGGGUAGGGCUUCACACGUCAUAUAAUGGUCGGUACAGAGGGUUGCCAAGCCGCGAGGUGGAGCCAAUCCCAGAAAGCCGAUCGUAGUCCGGAUUGUUCUCUGCAACUCGAGAGCAUGAAGUCGGAAUCGCUAGUAAUCGCGGAUCAGCAUGUCGCGGUGAAUACGUUCCCGGGUCUUGUACACACCGCCCGUCACACCAUGGGAGUGGAAUCUGGCAGAAGUAGGUAGCCUAACCGCAAGGAGGGCGCUUACCACGCUGGGUUUCAUGACUGGGGUGAAGUCGUAACAAGGUAACCGUA
This 1484-nucleotide ribosomal RNA is filed under the name uncultured bacterium. RNAcentral describes it as "partial 16S ribosomal RNA". It matches the Rfam family "Bacterial small subunit ribosomal RNA". The record is from RNAcentral.